CCCUCGGAACAGGCCACAACUGCCCUGUUCUUCCUAACAGCCUUACAAGAGUGUGCACCAAUCCUGACCUUUUUAUGUCUUUCUUGCUGUUCCCCUUCUAACAAGAGACAGAGAGAAAGAGGGGAAGAAAAGAAAUACUAUGAAAACUUGGACACAAAAUUCCUAAGGCUUCUAAUUCUAGAAAAAAUAGAGAAUUCCUAGAAAGAAAUAGUAACAAUAACCACCUGUUUAUUACAGCAAAAAUUUUAAAAUAUUUAACAAAGGACACAAAACCCUCUCUGCUGCCAUGCAGCAUGCAUUUAGCUUACUGCAGCCUUAUGGAUGGGGCUCCAGAAGGUAAAAGCCCUUUUUGAAUCCAUGAAAAGAUCAACAUCUGAAUAUAUAUUAAAGAUAAAGUCUAAGUACGUCAUAAAAGGCAGAAAAACACCAGCCUAACUUCUAGGUGGAUGCAGGAGCCACUGGUCCCCACUGAGGGGACAGAGCCCUGGGGAAGGAGGUGCUAAAUGGAUUCUGCUCACACUGCAUCCACAUAGGCCUGGUUUUAAAUAGCGGGCUGUCUUAUUGGAAGGGAAAUAUAAAUCUCCCAACCCAGAAGAAGAUGUGAUCUCAGCAGAAAAUGGAAAACAAUAGCUGGAAAGUAAUACCAGGACUUUCAGAUGAGAUACAAAAAAGUUAGUCCGCAUAUGAUUUAUCUUCAUGCAUCUAGACAUUUGAAAACAGCUGUUCGGAUCAUUCCUGAGUACUUUGAUUUAGAAAGGCCCCCACAUGCCCAGAAUCAGCCUGGGGCCCAGGACAGGAACAGCGUUCGCCCUGGGACUGACUAGGACCCAUCUACCCAGUCACUGCACGCCAUCCCCAACAGAGCGCCAUCUAUGGGAUCUGUCAGACUUCCCUCCCCUUCCAAGCAGAACUGAAGGGCAGUUAAGAGUCACAGUCCUGGCUCUGAACUGUGGCUCUGUCAUCUUCUGCCCAAGUGACAAGCCCUCGAAUUUCUGCAUGCCUCUGUCACCUCCACUACAAAUGGAGAUUCUGUCUCCUACCCAGUAACCUUUUGGCCCUCAGAACAGCCCCCAGGAUGCUCUAAAAGGCCACGCCCCUCCAUCGGCACUUGUAUUCUUCGUCACACUCUCAGCUCCGGAUGGUUUCUGUCUACUUCCAAAGAAAGAGAAAAUCAGCCAUUAUAAGAACAGUCAACAAAUGAGCAUCGAGAUUUGAAGGCUGUUCCAAAAAGUGAGUUUGAAUGUUUGAGCAAUGCUCCACUUUGGUGGGGUCACUUAGGCUUCCAAAGUGACUCUGGAAAAGGUUACAGGUGUCGAGGAGCUCCGGCCUAGCUGCUUGCAAAGUCACCUCUCUGCCUUGACCUGAAAGUCAGAGCUUAUCAGAAACACCCAAACAUCUGAAAAAUUCUUCUGUUUCUCCAACUGUGAACCAACCCACCGCCAAAUGAGCGUGCCAGAAGACAGCGAGGAUCCAAUUACAAACCAUUUACCUGUCGUGCCUGUCCCAUUCAUGAGGUCCCAGCUCUGUGGCCCAGUGUUUGCUCUGCUUUAUGAGCGGCAUUGACAGAAGGCCCUGCCCAGGCUGGGUCCUGAUGACAGGCAUCCCUCGUCACACUCCAGUGAACUCUUCUGACAGAGUCAGGACCCCUGGGGGCAGAAUCCUGUGACCUAAUUGAGUGGCAAUCCCCUUUCAGCCAUGUCACUGCCACCAGCAGGGCCCUGGGCUCUGUGUAGCCACCUCAGACAGUCUCUCCCCAAGCCAGGCUUGGGUCCCCAUAGCCUCUCCUGGCUGAGUGAGCGGGAGCUGCAGUGUGGCCGGCUGCUCACAGCAGCUUGGUCCAGUUAAGCCCUCCACGCUGGGCCAGCUCCACACUGGGGACCAGGCAGAACCUGCACUUUGCCUUCUUACAGGAGAAAAACACUUUUUGGAUUGAGGACAAAAGAUCCGCUGAAAAUAGCCUUCCUGUAUUUUCACAUGAAAAAAAAAAAAACAAAAAACAAAAAAA
This 2005-nucleotide long non-coding RNA is filed under the name Macaca fascicularis (crab-eating macaque). RNAcentral describes it as "lncRNA (ENSMFAG00000064114.1)". Lineage: Eukaryota; Metazoa; Chordata; Mammalia; Primates; Cercopithecidae. The record is from RNAcentral.